UACCAGCACCCCGAGUGGUCGGGACGAUUAUUGGGCCUAAAGCAUCCGUAGCCGGUUCUACAAGUCUUCCGUUAAAUCCACCUGCUUAACAGAUGGGCCGCGGAAGAUACUAUAGAGCUAGGAGGCGGGAGAGGCAAGCGGUACUCGAUGGGUAGGGGUAAAAUCCGUUGAUCCAUUGAAGACCACCAGUGGCGAAGGCGGCUUGCCAGAACGCGCUCGACGGUGAGGGAUGAAAGCUGGGGGAGCAAACCGG
RNAcentral lists this ribosomal RNA (253 nucleotides) under uncultured bacterium. Its description in RNAcentral is "partial 16S ribosomal RNA". It matches the Rfam family "Archaeal small subunit ribosomal RNA", at positions 474 to 727 of the family's 1478-position model. The record is from RNAcentral.